UUCUAUACUCUAUUAUAUCUAAUGUUUACCCAACAAUUUUUAGUUUUUGAUAAAAAAUGGUUUCCAUUAAUGAUUUUUGUUAAAUAGGCAAAAAUCAAAAAUAAAAAUGAUACCAAAGAGAGCCUGAUAAACUUUGGAUGAACAUACAGA
This is a long non-coding RNA of Telopea speciosissima, 150 nucleotides long. RefSeq lists it as uncharacterized. NCBI's taxonomy places the organism in Eukaryota, Viridiplantae, Streptophyta, Magnoliopsida, Proteales, Proteaceae. The record is from RefSeq and is a predicted model, not a curated record. The transcript is spliced from 3 exons.